This 398-nucleotide long non-coding RNA is filed under the name Brassica napus (rape). Its description in RNAcentral is "long non-coding RNA (BNAP_LNC023454)". Lineage: Eukaryota; Viridiplantae; Streptophyta; Magnoliopsida; Brassicales; Brassicaceae. The record is from RNAcentral.
AUCACUUACAUAACAGUCGGAGCUGAAUCCACCGACGAUCCACACACCAACGCCUCCUCCUUCGUCGUCCCCGCGAUGCAGAACGUGCUGACCGCUCUCAAGAAAGUCGGUCUGAGCAGAAGAAUCAAAGUCUCCACGACGCCCUCCCUCGGCGUCCUCUCAAGAUCUUUCCCACCUUCCGCUGGAGCGUUCAACAGCAGCUACGCGUAUACGACGCUCUCCCUCGGCGUCCUCUCAAGAUCUUUCCCACCUUCCGCUGGAGCGUUCAACAGCAGCUACGCGUAUUUCUUGAGGCCGAUGCUCGAGUUCUUGGCGGAGAAUCAGUCUCCUUUCAUGGUCGAUCUUUACCCUUACUACGCUUACAGAGAUUCUCCCAACAAUGUGUCUUUGGACUAUGU